ACAAUAUUAUGUACAGUUGUAGUGUAAAUAUUGGUAGUUUCCAUGGAUAAUUGACUUUGCCAUGCUUUGCCUGUGCAGGGUGCCUGAAAGGAUUUCCUGUCAUUGUGGGCCUUGAUCCUUAAGAAGCCCACCUGCAGGCCAUCUCAAACCCAAAGGCAGGACUCCGUUUGUGCAGAGGCAAAAGAAGAUAUUAAAAGCAGGGCAAGGAGCAUCUGUAGGAGAGCAUUUUCCUGCUCAACAGCUGAAAUUCCCAUUAAAGAUUUUCUAAAUUGCUUGCGAUUGUUAGAGAUUGGGUAAGUGAGACGGGGAAGGAGAGAAGACACAGAACGCUAAGCAGGAUGUACAUGGGGAAUUUUCAUUAGUAGAAAAAGAAUCCUGUUUCCUGCUAAGAACUUCCUGGACCUUGUCAAGUGUCCCCUGUCCUAUGGAAGGCUGAGGUUGGGUAAAUAAUUCUCUUCUUCCCAACUGUCUGGAAGUUCUUACAAAUGAGCUUAGUUUGCUUUUUGCGUUCGUAGUUUUCGCCCAGGCCUUAUUUCAUUUGUGUUGAUUUGAUGUCACAAGGAACUUUCACAUCAUAACUUAUAUCAUAAGAUAGAAUUCUCCCCACUCUCCUUUCC
Molecule: long non-coding RNA, 617 nt
Filed under: Fukomys damarensis (Damara mole-rat)
Lineage: Eukaryota; Metazoa; Chordata; Mammalia; Rodentia; Bathyergidae
Description: lncRNA (ENSFDAG00000031259.1)
Source: RNAcentral